Non-coding RNA from Aspergillus lentulus, 73 nucleotides. Lineage: Eukaryota; Fungi; Ascomycota; Eurotiomycetes; Eurotiales; Aspergillaceae. The record is from Rfam.
GGGGCUGUGGCGUAAUUGGUAGCGCGUGAGACUCCAGAUCUUAAGGUUAUCCGUUCAAGUCGGGUCAGCCUCA